RNAcentral lists this ribosomal RNA (137 nucleotides) under uncultured eukaryote. RNAcentral's name for it is "partial 18S ribosomal RNA". It matches the Rfam family "Eukaryotic small subunit ribosomal RNA", at positions 1299 to 1458 of the family's 1831-position model. The record is from RNAcentral.
UGGUGGAGUGAUCUGUCUGGUUAAUUCCGAUAACGAACGAGACCUUAACCUGCUAAAUAGUUUAUUCAACUUUGGUUGAAUCAAACUUCUUAGAGGGACUAUUGACGUGUAGUCAAUGGAAGUUUUAGGCAAUAACA